CUGCAACCAAUUUCGUCAACCGUCUUCCAUUCCCCAUAGGGGCCGGUAUGCAGUGGCUACAGACAGCAGCCUCCUUGAUAGUGGAUGUGGCCUAUUGUUUAUACGGGUUGCUCUAAUGGACCUGGGAGACAACC
This 134-nucleotide small nucleolar RNA is filed under the name Dasypus novemcinctus (nine-banded armadillo). RNAcentral describes it as "Small nucleolar RNA SNORA70 (ENSDNOG00000048635.1)". It matches the Rfam family "Small nucleolar RNA SNORA70". From Rfam's summary of the family: snoRNA U70 seems to be exclusive to mammals and is a member of the H/ACA class of snoRNA which contain H (ANANNA) and ACA box motifs. H/ACA box snoRNAs are involved in the conversion of uridines to pseudouridines (5-ribosyluracil) a constituent of structural RNAs (transfer, ribosomal, small nuclear, and small nucleolar). The record is from RNAcentral. Lineage: Eukaryota; Metazoa; Chordata; Mammalia; Cingulata; Dasypodidae.